This 464-nucleotide ribosomal RNA is filed under the name uncultured bacterium. RNAcentral's name for it is "partial 16S ribosomal RNA". It matches the Rfam family "Bacterial small subunit ribosomal RNA", at positions 338 to 795 of the family's 1533-position model. The record is from RNAcentral.
CCUACGGGUGGCAGCAGUAGGGAAUUUUCGUCAAUGGGCGCAAGCCUGAACUAGCAAUGCCGCUUGCACUCUUCCUUUCUUCUUCUCUUCCCUUUCUUUUUCCUUUUCCCCAUAGCGGAGAGAGGAAAUGGUCUCCGAUUGAUAUUACCCUUCGAGGAAGUCACGGCUAACUACGUGCCAGCAGCCGCGGUAAUACGUAGGUGGCGAGCUUUAUCCGGAAUGAUUGGGCGUAAAGGGUGCGUAGGCGGCCUGCUAAGUCUGGAGUGAAAGGUACCGGCUCAACCGGUACAGGCUCUGGAAAAUGGCGGGAUAGAGAGCAGGAGAGGGCGGUGGAACUCAAUGUGUAGCGGGAAAAUGCGUAGAUAUAUGGAAGAACACCAGUGGCGAAGGCGGCCGCCUGGCCUGUUACUGACGCUGAGGCACGAAAGCGUGGGGAGCAAAUAGGAUGAGAGAAAAAAGUAGUC